Molecule: ribosomal RNA, 360 nt
Filed under: uncultured eukaryote
Lineage: Eukaryota
Description: partial 18S ribosomal RNA
Rfam family: Eukaryotic small subunit ribosomal RNA
Source: RNAcentral
CAAUAGCAUAUAUUAACGUUGUUGCAGUUGAAAAGCUCGUAGUUGAACUUUUGGUAGGAGCGACCUGGCCUUGGGCGCAUGCCCUUGUUUGCCGUGUGUCGUAUCUGGCCAUCCUUUUCUUCUUCGGAAGGAAUCUUUUACUGUGAGUAAACUGGAGUGCUCAAAACAAGACGUUUGUUUGGUACAUUAAAGCAUGGAAUAAUAAGAUAGGACCUGGUUACUAUUUUGUUGGUUUGCAUAGCUAGGUAAUGAUUAACAGGGACAGUUGGGGGUAUUCGUAUUUAAUUGUCAGAGGUGAAAUUCUUGGAUUUAUGAAAGACGAACGACUGCGAAAGCAUUUACCAAGGAUGUUUUCAUUGA